ACGUGCGUGGUGCGUGUCUCCCUCUGCCGCCCUCUCAGAAAGACGCUUAUGAGCAGGCGUGGGACCUGCUGGACUUUCCCAGAUGAUCCCCCGAUCUCAUGAUCCCUUGCUCACAGCUGCAAAAUCUUUACCACAGGGAAUACCAUGCAGGACACAGUGGAAAGGUGACCAUCUCAAGCCAGGAAGAGAAGCCUCACUGGCACCGACGCUGCUGGCACCUUGACCUUGGACUUCCAGCUUCCAGAACUGGAGAAAUAAAUUGUCGUGGCAUAAACUGGAACCCUGCCUCUGAGACAGUCUGGAGAACGGCGUUUCUGGGCUUCCAGCUCCUGCUAUGGAGGUGAUAGUAACGAUCAGUGUGAGAAUGGGUUUCAGGUUCCAACAGACAAUUGAUAAAAUAGACUGUCCAUUUCGAAGACACUCAGAACAUCCAAUCUGCCCACCAGUUUUGUCUGCUUUACCUACAUAAUGCAGUUCAAAUCCAUUUCAGUUUGAUCUCUGUACUCUGCAACUGCCAGUAAUUCAAGAUAACAGUGCUUCUCAUGUGAAGUAUUACAACAUUUAUCUUGUUUUCCUCUUCCCGCAUUGCCCUCUGUAUUACCCAUGAUAAGUCUGGUUAUGCCGUGGUUACAAACAAUUCCAAAAUGGCAGUGGCUUAACCCAACUAGUAUUCCUUUCAUGCUCCUGUUAUAUGCUUCUUAUGGACUUUCAAGGGACUCUGUUGUGUAUCAUCAUUUAGGGGCCCAGGCUGACUGAGACUCCACCACCAUACAGAGUAGCGUCUGGAAUAUUCAGCCGCCUCCACGGCUGUGGCACAAAAUGUAAAGGGCUGGAGCACUGUUGAUGGGGGUUUGACGACUAAGCCGACCAGUGACAUGGCCCCACUCAACUCCAAGAAAUAUGAAAUAUGGACUAUUUGGUUGAAACUAAUGUUUAUACCACACUUCCUAUAGUCAGCUUUCUAUAUUUCAUCCAGAUGAAUAGUUACAGAACAUAAGUCAGAUCAUAUCAUUCUUUCUGCUUAAAAACAUUCAGGUGUUCCAGUUGGCACAUAAAAUAGAACUAAGACCUUUUAUUAUGUUCUACCAGACACUACAGGAUCUGCAUUAGCAUUUUUAAAAUUUCUUAAUGUUUAUUUAUUUUUAAGAGAGAGAGAGAAUGACAGCAGAGGAGGGCCGGAGAAAGAGACACAGAAUCCAAAGCAGGUUCCAGGUUCUGAGCUGUCAGCAC
Felis catus (domestic cat) is the source of this 1230-nucleotide long non-coding RNA. RefSeq lists it as uncharacterized. The record is from RefSeq and is a predicted model, not a curated record. Lineage: Eukaryota; Metazoa; Chordata; Mammalia; Carnivora; Felidae. The transcript is spliced from 3 exons.